AAGGAAACAAUCUCAGAAUAACAUGGGAUCAAGGAAAUGAGGAUUACUCACUUUUGCUCUUCACAGCUGAUGCUAACCAGACUCAGAAAUUUAUGUUUAAACUUCUCCUUGCGAAGCAUUCAGAUAAAAGGAUAACCCUACAUUUGAAACACUUUAGGUAUGAUUUGGUAUACAUAGGAUCCCAUGGCUUGAGAGGAAGAGUAACCAGGCUCUUGUUAGAUACACAUUGUUAAUGCUCAUGUUUAAACUUAAGCUGUCUAGAAGAUCGAACCUGCGUCCUCAUGGAUGCUAGUCAGGUUUGUUAACCACUGAGCCAUGACACGAACUCCUAGAACUUCUCUUUUGAAAUUGUCUAUUAAAACCUAUAGCAAAAAAAAUUAAAACUGUAAUUACAUUAUGCUUGCUGAAUUUCUUGACAACAAAGGAACUAAACUGUGGAUUAAUUUCUCAACCCUGUGUGAUUUUUGAGCCUAAGUAAUUUUAACUAUAAAUUAAGUUGUGUUUUUUGUUUUUACUCUGUCUUUCAAGUUACUGGGCAGAUAGCUAAUGUGGCAAAGAAAUGGUUUAUUACAUGCUGUCAAUUAUAUUGUCUCCUCUCAUCUGAUCUUUUUUCCUGAGAAUGGCUUCUAUAUAUAAAGAAUUUUAUUUUUCCUCUUUAACAUAUUCUUUUGUUCAAACUUCCUGGUAUGAAUCCUAGUAUUGUGAGGGUGGAUUGGCUAUUAGGAAACAAUGCAUUAGCUCUUGGAGCCAAGUCUAGUUUAUUUAUUCACUAGGCUUGACUCCAAGAGCUUAUGAUUAGUCUCCUCAGAAUGUUUUGGUCCAGAGAUGACAAAAUCAUGACUUAUUUUCCAAGCUACCUUGAAGACUAAUGUUGGUGCUUUGUAGACUGUAAGGGACCAAAUGAGUGUAUAAUCUUUUAUAUAAAAGAAGCAAGCAUGUAAAUAUUCUGGCUUGCUUUAUCAUUGAAAACCAUACGGGAAACAAAAACAUUAUAAAGGUUUGGAGGAGGCUCUGAAAGCAGUUCUAGCCAAGGGCCUUUCAAAAUACGACAUCAGCAGCAUAGAAAGAAACGUGUGGUCUCCUAAGGUUGAUGUAUGAGGAAAGUACCACCUAUGCUUGGAUCAUGACAGUGCUAACCAGGGUGUAUUUUGUUAUCAUGGAAACCUAAGCAUAUAAAAAUUAGCAAUAGCCUGGGUCUUUAUGAAGUUAAGAAGAGUUUUAAACAGUAACUACUUUGGAAUGCCAAAUGAGUGUAAGGAAAACUUUGUGCACUACUUCAGUUUAUAUAAAGAGAAAUUAACUCUGGUUUUGCUUUUAUUUCAUUUCCACCAAUGUGAAUUAGCCUUUUCAGCUCUGUAUUCACAUUUUUUUUCUUUUAUAGUAAACAGAGACUCUCUCCAGUUAGAGAAGUAUAGUAAUACAAAUUCAGUCCCCUGAACUACAGUUUGUAGGGGAGGUGGGGUAACAAGGUUUAAGGUAAGAAGGAAAGUUGUAAUAAUGACAGCUUUCAUUUAGACCUUCCUCUGUCUCCCUGUGGCAGGCCAGGGUAUCAUGAACUCUUCUUUCCAAAGCUUUCUUUCCCAAGGUGGAAAUGAAAUCGAGGUUGGCUUAUGGGGUUUGAGGAAGGAACUAUAAUUUCAUAUUUUUAUUGCCAGCUUUAACAGGUGUUUUUAAGUUACACAGAAAUUUUAGAUUUUUUUUUAAUUUAGUUAUUUUGUAGUCUUAUUUUCUCUGAGAACGGUGGCAGACUUGUUUCCACUUCCGGUGCAUAAUAGAUACUGUUUGUGGCUAUAAUGUUUAUUAGAUUGCUAUGGAUCCCUAAGAAUUAGCCUUUUUGUGCAGUAAUUUAAAAAAAUGUUUACUAAUCUUAAAGGCCUUGGUGGGGGUCACACUUUUCCUUUCUGCUGCUGUGCAUUAGCUGUCUAGGAAACUUUAGAAAUGAAGUUUUAGUGAUAUCAGCGAUAGUGGUAAAUGCCUCUGUGUUGUUAUUUGUAUUUUUGAACAUAAAAUGCCUUCCUUAAUACAAGGUUUUAUAUUCUGGAAAAGUUGAAACCAUGCUCUAAAUACAGAGCCGUUUAGGAAUGAUUACUUAAGAGAUUUAAUUUUCUCCAUGAUAAAUAAUACAGUGUGCCCGUUUUUACUAAUUGCGCUCCCAACCUUGGUCUUCAUAAAGUAUAUCUUAAUAAGCAAGGAGGGACAUAGGUAAGCUAGCUGACACCAGGUCCUAACUUAGUUGUUUUCAUGAUGUUUUUGAAUGAGAUUUGUUAGAAUAUGUCAUAGUAUACAAAUGAAUGUUCAAUCUUGGGUUUGUUUUCCUGUCAUUUUCAUAUGCCAGUAAUUGAUCUGAGGGCUAAGUUGCUCAUACGAGUCACUUACUCAGGAAAAUGGAAGAAAACUAAGAUAAAAGCGGGCAUUUCAACUUAUUUUUAUUUGGUUAAUGUAUAUAGUCUUUAUACAUUCAGUUUGCAGAAAAAUUUCAGGAAUUUAAAGAAGCUGCUCGACUAGCCAAGGAGAAAUCCCAAGAAAAGAUGGAACUUACCAGUACCCCUUCACAGGUGGGUGUCUAAUUUCUAUCCUUAUUUAUAAGCUCUGUUCAUUUUAGGUAUCCUAAAUAGUAUUCUUUAUGCCAGAAGUAAAUUUGGAAAAAUGAUGGCAAAAUUAAGGUGAGUUCCAAAGUGGACAUAGAAAUGCACCCUUCAGUUAAUCCAUACUAGUGGGGAAAGAGUUUUUUUUUCCUGUAUGCCAAUGUCUACAAGAAUCUCUGGGUGAGGGGGGAAUUAGUUUAGUAAUUAAAACUUAGGUUUUUUAAUGUAUAUACAAUUUUAAAACAUUUGUACAUAAAGAGCAUAGAUUGGCCUAUUGUGUACUGUGAUGGUCAGGUACAGACACAGGAGAGGCUUGGGAAAACACAAGUUUAUCAGACUCUAAGGUCCUAGAAAUCAGAAGCAAGGCAUAUCUCUAGGGGUGUAUAUAAGAGAUGCCUCGAGGAGGUCAGGAGGCAGAAAGCAGGGGUACAGGGGAACAAGGCUAGAGCCUAUAUGGGGGUUUCUGUGGGAAUGACAGGUUUAGGAUUGCCUAGUCUGAGUAAUACCUGUGGGCUCUAAACUAUAGGCCUGGUCCCUAGUUGGCAGGGACCGGGCCCUUAGAUGCUUAAGGCAGAGGAAUACUGCCCUCUGGGAUGCAGGAGCCAGAAAAAGGAGGCGUGGCUCUGGUGUGGUUAAUUAGCAUAUCAAAGACAUGCUCCCACCUUAGCCCCUUGCUAACUCUAAGAACUGGCUUCUUUUAAGAAGUCAAAACAUCACAAUAUAGAGAAAAUAGGAAUAUAUAAACAAUACAGUUUGUUCUACCUGAUUUUAAAGUGUACUUAAAGCUGGCAUUUGGGACAUUUACAUCUCAGCAGUGAGACCCAAAGGUUAUAGGUUUUAUAAAAGUAUCACCUUUUCCUUUAAUAAGUUAAUACCUGUUACUUGUCCAUUGUAGUCUUUCUUCAACUGGAGAUUAAUUAUGUCUCCAAAUAUAAGUCAUUAAAUAGUUACAUUUCAGUGCUUUUAUAAAGGUUUUAAUAUAUAUAAUGUGACUCAGAAUACCAAUAAUUUUUCAGCUUUUUCAUAAUAGACUUUUUAAAAUUAAUUUUCUUUUCAGUUAUCAUAAGAGUAAGGUUCAGCUUUGUGCUAUAUUCUUCUCUAUAGUAAUUGUUUUUGAAGUGUACUUGAAAGAUUUUUCUAAAAGGAAGUAUUGAUGUUACAGAUGUUUCUCUGGAGUAAUGUUGGUAGUAGCUGAUUUACAUAAAACUUUGUUGAAGAAGUAAAUAGGAAUUGCCUUGGGAUUUUUCACUAGCCAGACAAUUGGAACAUUUUAGAAAAUAUUUUGUUCUUCACCUUCCUCCCCACUCCCAGAACCCACCUCUAUUUGGUAAACCCUACUGGUAUAAAGAAUUUGGGGGGCAGGUCCCGUCGUGGCUCAGUGGUUAACAAAUCCGGCUAGGAACCAUGAGGUUGCGGGUUUGAUCCCUGGCCUCCAUCAGUGGGUUAAGGAGUUGCUGUGGCUGUGGUGUGGGCCAGCGGCUGCAGCUCCAAUUAGACCCCUGGCCUUGGAACCUCCAUAUGCUGCGGGUAUGGCCCUAUAAAGACAAAAGACAAGACAAAAAAAAAAA
Molecule: long non-coding RNA, 4153 nt
Filed under: Sus scrofa (pig)
Lineage: Eukaryota; Metazoa; Chordata; Mammalia; Artiodactyla; Suidae
Description: lncRNA (ENSSSCG00015067451.1)
Source: RNAcentral